This 623-nucleotide ribosomal RNA is filed under the name Aureonarius limonius. RNAcentral's name for it is "eukaryotic LSU rRNA". It matches the Rfam family "Eukaryotic large subunit ribosomal RNA", at positions 1 to 629 of the family's 3401-position model. Lineage: Eukaryota; Fungi; Basidiomycota; Agaricomycetes; Agaricales; Cortinariaceae. RNAcentral also lists the same sequence under 1 other name. The record is from RNAcentral.
GUGACCUCAAAUCAGGUAGGACUACCCGCUGAACUUAAGCAUAUCAAUAAGCGGAGGAAAAGAAACUAACAAGGAUUCCCCUAGUAACUGCGAGUGAAGCGGGAAAAGCUCAAAUUUAAAAUCUGGCAGUCUCCGGCUGUCCGAGUUGUAAUCUAGAGAAGUGUUAUCCGCGUUGGACCGUGUACAAGUCUCCUGGAAUGGAGCAUCAUAGAGGGUGAGAAUCCCGUCUUUGACACGGACUGCCAGGGCUUUGUGAUGCGCUCUCAAAGAGUCGAGUUGUUUGGGAAUGCAGCUCAAAAUGGGUGGUAAAUUCCAUCUAAAGCUAAAUAUUGGCGAGAGACCGAUAGCGAACAAGUACCGUGAGGGAAAGAUGAAAAGAACUUUGGAAAGAGAGUUAAACAGUACGUGAAAUUGCUGAAAGGGAAACGCUUGAAGUCAGUCGCGUUGAUCAGGGAUCAACCUUGCUUUUGCUUGGUGCACUUUCUGGUUAAUGGGUCAGCAUCAAUUUUGACCAUUGGAAAAAGGUCAGGGGAAUGUGGCAUCUUCAGAUGUGUUUAUAGCCCUUGGUUGCAUACAAUGGUUGGGAUUGAGGAACUCAGCACGCCGAAAGGCCGGGUUGUUUU